CAUUGCCUAUUAAAAAGUAUUUCCACUGAGACCAAAGAGGGUGCACUUCUGCCUUCUCACCUUUGCCUCUGGAGACAAGAUCAUCCCUGCUUUCCCUCCAUGACUAAUCAAAGACACUUCUGGGGAGCGCUAUUCGGAGCCUUGAUUCACGUCCCCUAAAGCAGAGAGGCAGGAUUCCCUGUUGAAAGAAAGAACAGUUAAUCUUUUCCCUAAGAGUUCUGCUGUGGGAUUUCAGCUAAAAGUCGAGAGCAGCCUUUCCGUAACAGCCUUAUAAUAUGCAGUUGCAGAGGAAACUGCUUUGAAAUCAAUGGCCCUCAAUGUUUUUACAUAUUUUUGCAGAAAUUAAGAACAGGAGAUCCUGAGAGAACAUUCAGCAACCUGGACAUUCAGUUGCUUAUUUCCUUAUGAAACUGGUCUUAAAUCCAGUCGAUGAGAACUUGAACUGGAGUCAGUUUUCAGGAGGCCAAGGUUUCUCUCUGGACAAGAAAAGCAUUACUUCUGACAGACUGUGGGACGUUGCUGGCCGUUUAGCUUCUACCUCUCCACAAGCAGAACCAGGCACAAGCCACUUCAGAAUUAAGGAUUCACUUACAUCAGUACCGAAUGAGUGCAAAAUGAAUGGACCUAAGUGAAUACUGAUUCAGGUUUCCAUUUCUACAUUGCUUCCUUAUUGAUGGAGUUCUUCAGCCCCUCUUCACUUGACAGAGAUUUACACAAUCAUCUACACAUGAGUUAAAAUACAAAAAGAACGCUUAAAUUCUUUUAUAAGAAUGUCAGAUCAUACACUGUAAAUCAUUAACAAGUUUUUUUCCUUAGUAUUUCAUUUCAUUUCAUACUCCUAUCCAUCUUGUAUUGCUUUCCACUCGCUUACUGAAAACUAUUUAAAGUUUGUAAGUAAACUAAAAUGUAAAACUGAAAUACUAAAAUAUAAAAUGUGCAGUCUUUUUUUACAUCCCUCUAUCAUCUCUUUGGUGUUCUGCACAAUAAUAAUAAAUGCUCUGUUUUUCU
RNAcentral lists this long non-coding RNA (1008 nucleotides) under Dromaius novaehollandiae (emu). RNAcentral's name for it is "lncRNA (ENSDNVG00000002173.1)". Lineage: Eukaryota; Metazoa; Chordata; Aves; Casuariiformes; Dromaiidae. The record is from RNAcentral.